Molecule: transfer RNA, 59 nt
Filed under: Docophoroides brevis
Lineage: Eukaryota; Metazoa; Arthropoda; Insecta; Psocodea; Philopteridae
Description: tRNA-Leu
Source: RNAcentral
ACUAAUGUGGCAGAUUAGUGCAUUAAAUUUAAAAUUUAAUUAUGGAUUUACCCUUUAGU